Phyllostomus hastatus (greater spear-nosed bat) is the source of this 1092-nucleotide long non-coding RNA. RefSeq lists it as uncharacterized. The record is from RefSeq and is a predicted model, not a curated record. NCBI's taxonomy places the organism in Eukaryota, Metazoa, Chordata, Mammalia, Chiroptera, Phyllostomidae. The transcript has 3 exons.
AGUUGCUAGGUCCUACAAGAGGCCCAAGGAUGCCAGUAACAAAGGUCUAUCUGGAAAGACUCAUCUAGAAAUGAUGAAAGCUGAAAUAUGUCUAGCCCUGCCUUUCUCGGCGUUGCUAAACGGCAGCUACUAAAGACUUUCGACUGAAGCUCCAUCCCUGUGUUUCCCUCCUAGGGCUGGAAUCCUGGCUUGAAUUUUCGGCUGAUUGGAUGGAACCCUGACAUUACCUAGUGCUUACCAGUUCUCUCCCCUGGGACCAAAUCCAGUGUCUGUAACCCUCCAGCCACCUGGGCUGUGCUUCUGCCCAGACAGACCUCCGAGAGAAUCCAAGGCACUCAAGCAUACUUUCUGGCUAGAAACUCCUGUUGCUAUGCAAACUACACUGAUAAUCUAACCAGGAAAUAGAGGCCACUUGAACAUCCAUUCCAGGGAUUUCAAAAUUGGGAAGAUGUUACACGGGCAACGGAGGAAUGGAGAGUCAAAUAGAGGACAGGGAGGCAACCCAGAGAAUAAUUACAGAAUGAAGCCACUAAGACCCUUGACUGGAGGGACAGAGGAAGAAGUGGUGUUACUGGUCCCUGGGCAGAAACUAAGAGCCUGACAGGACUGUGCAUGGAGAGAUGGAGCUGCUGCUGGAGUCGCUGCCCAAGACAGAAGAGAGGGAUGAAAACCGCUGGCUUCUCCCUCCUCUCAUCCUCCAGUCUCCCACCAGGCCUCCCAUUAGCCAUAUUCAGCUGGAAACCAGAUGAAGUAGGGGCUGAGAAAGGCAGCUUGCAGGGAUCAGCCACUGCAAAUACAGAACAGAGCAGGGGAGAGUGGAAGACCUGCCUGAGGGCAAACUACCCUGGAGAAGCUAAGCAGUCUUCUUUGUCACCUUCACCACUAAUCAAAGUACGGGUCCUUAGACAUACUCCAUAUUAUUAGUAUUGCUCCUUGCUUCAUUUCCACACUUUAGCCUUACACUUUGAGAUCCUUAUGCCAAUCCAUUUGCUGUGCCUUAGGGAGUUCCCAUUCAUUCAUACUACUCUGUACCCUGAACCUCUUCUCCAAACGCUCGCUCUUUCUGACUUUAAUUGAAUCAUAAAUAAUCAC